Molecule: ribosomal RNA, 601 nt
Filed under: uncultured bacterium
Lineage: Bacteria
Description: bacterial SSU rRNA
Rfam family: Bacterial small subunit ribosomal RNA
Source: RNAcentral
UGCGAAGGCAGCGCACGAGGCCUUUACUGACGCUAAAGCUCGAAGGUGCGGGUAUCGAACAGGAUUAGAUACCCUGGUAGUCCGCACGGUAAACGAUGGAUGCCCGCUGUUUGCGAUACACUGUGAGCGGCCAAGCGAAAGCGUUAAGCAUCCCACCUGGGGAGUACGCCGGCAACGGUGAAACUCAAAGGAAUUGACGGGGGCCCGCACAAGCGGAGGAACAUGUGGUUUAAUUCGAUGAUACGCGAGGAACCUUACCCGGGCUUGAACUGCCGGCGAACGAUACAGAGAUGUUGAGGCCCUUCGGGGCGCCGGCGGAGGUGCUGCAUGGUUGUCGUCAGCUCGUGCCGUGAGGUGUCGGCUUAAGUGCCAUAACGAGCGCAACCCCUCUCCGUAGUUGCCAUCGGGUGAUGCCGGGCACUCUGCGGACACUGCCACCGUAAGGUGUGAGGAAGGUGGGGAUGACGUCAAAUCAGCACGGCCCUUACGUCCGGGGCUACACACGUUGACAGGGGGUGGUACAGAGGGCAGGCAUCCGGCAACGUCCGUCUAAUCCCGAAAGCCAUCCUCAGUUCGGACUGGGGUCUGCAACCCGACCCCA